GAUGAACGCUGGCGGCGUGCUUAACACAUGCAAGUCGAACGAUGAAGCCCAGCUUGCUGGGUGGAUUAGUGGCGAACGGGUGAGUAACACGUGAGUAACCUGCCCUUAACUCUGGGAUAAGCCUGGGAAACUGGGUCUAAUACCGGAUAGGAGCGUCCACCGCAUGGUGGGUGUUGGAAAGAUUUAUCGGUUUUGGAUGGACUCGCGGCCUAUCAGCUUGUUGGUGAGGUAAUGGCUCACCAAGGCGACGACGGGUAGCCGGCCUGAGAGGGUGACCGGCCACACUGGGACUGAGACACGGCCCAGACUCCUACGGGAGGCAGCAGUGGGGAAUAUUGCACAAUGGGCGAAAGCCUGAUGCAGCGACGCCGCGUGAGGGAUGACGGCCUUCGGGUUGUAAACCUCUUUCAGUAGGGAAGAAGCGAAAGUGACGGUACCUGCAGAAGAAGCACCGGCUAACUCCGUG
Molecule: ribosomal RNA, 466 nt
Filed under: uncultured bacterium
Lineage: Bacteria
Description: partial 16S ribosomal RNA
Rfam family: Bacterial small subunit ribosomal RNA
Source: RNAcentral